CAUAAUAUUGGACGAUUUAGGUUGACAAAUUGAUAUUAUUUAGAUCCGCAAGAGUUUUUAAAAAUUCGAUACAAUUUAGUUUGUCAGGGUUUUUAGAUUCUUAGUGGAGCGAGAAAUGUAUUGGAUUUACAAUAAUGUUUAUUUUUUUUUUCUAUGGACAAAUUUUCUACCAAAGCUAUUGUUUCGAUUUACAAUAAUAUUACUUUUUUUGAAAGGAAAUCUGACUGGAGUGGUACAAUAGGAUUGUAAUCUUUUGAUUUUCCAGGAAUUUUCCCAAUAAAUGAGAAAAACGUAGGAAAAACGAGAAAGUAGAUGCAAUAUAAAACAAAUAUUCUUAAAGGAAAUAUGUGAAUGCAUAUGUAUAAUUAUUU
This is a non-coding RNA of Cinara cedri, 371 nucleotides long. Lineage: Eukaryota; Metazoa; Arthropoda; Insecta; Hemiptera; Aphididae. The record is from the annotation of a GenBank genome assembly.